GGAGAGUUGUAAACAGACAGUAGAGGCAAGGGGUAAAUAGGUGGUGGAGGAGAUUUAUAAGUAUAAUUGAAGGUGGAGGAGAUGAGUAAUCUGGGGGAGAAGGAGGAGGAGUACAUUGGCGGUGGAGGAGAUUAAUAAACAGGAGGUGGAGGAGAUGAGUAGACUGGUGGAGGAGGAGAGUGGUACACCAGAGGUGGAGGAGAGGAAUAAAUAGGUAGUGGAGGAGAUUUAUAAACAGGAGGUGGAGGAGAUGAGUAGACUAGUGGAGGGGGAAAGUGGCACAUCAGAGGAGGUGGAGGAGGGGAAUAAACAGGUGGUGGAGGAGAUUUAUAAAUAGGAGGUGGAGGAGAUGAGUAGACUGGUGGAGGAGGAGAGUGAUCAUGCACCGGAGGUGGAGGAGAGGAAUAAAUAGGUGGUGGAGGAGAUUUAUAAACAGGAGGUGGAGGAGAUGAGUAGACUGGUGGAGGAGGAGAGUGAUCAUGCACCGGAGGUGGAGGAGAGGAAUAAAUAGGUGGUGGAGGAGAUUUAUAAACAGGAGGUGGAGGAGAUGAGUAGACUGGUGGAGGAGGAGAGUGAUCAUGCACCGGAGGUGGAGGAGAGGAAUAAAUAGGUGGUGGAGGAGAUUUAUAAACAGGAGGUGGAGGAGAUGAGUAGACUGGUGGAAGAGGAGAGUGGUACACCGGAGGUGGAGGAGAGAAAUAAACAGGUGGUGGAGGAGAUUUAUAAACAGGAGGUGGAGGAGAUGAGUAGAUUGGUGGAGGAGGAGUGUGAUACACAGGAGGUGAAGGAGAGGAAUAAACAGGUGGUGGAGGAGAUUUAUAGACAGGGGGUGGUGGGGAGGGGUAGGUUGGUGGUGGAGGAGAUUUAUAAACCGAAUAUGGAGGAUAUGGAUAAACUGGUGGUGGAGAAAAUUUAUAUACAGGUGGAGGAGAAGAUGGAUAUAGUAGUGGU
This 951-nucleotide long non-coding RNA is filed under the name Cucumis sativus (cucumber). RNAcentral describes it as "long non-coding RNA (CSAT_LNC002824)". The record is from RNAcentral. Lineage: Eukaryota; Viridiplantae; Streptophyta; Magnoliopsida; Cucurbitales; Cucurbitaceae.